Molecule: long non-coding RNA, 4726 nt
Organism: Osmia bicornis bicornis
Lineage: Eukaryota; Metazoa; Arthropoda; Insecta; Hymenoptera; Megachilidae
Exons: 2
Source: RefSeq, a predicted model, not a curated record
CGGAACCACGGGCAAACUGAGGCGCUUUUUGAUUUGGCGAUAGCUUCUCGCCGGCACAACACCACCAGCUGCCGAGAACCACCAGCAAGAGGAUCUAUAGACACCAAGCGCGUAACGAUCAGAUGAUAAAAGUUGAGGCGAUCCUUUCGACGCGGGAAAAGCGAGGUUUUCGCCUGAGGUAAUCAACGACGUUCGGUGACCUCACGACCGAUGCUAGUACGCAUACGGUAAAAGCGUAAUCUAAUCAUCUUUUUCUGCGCGCAUUACAUCGGUCUACGUAACUGAAUCGAAAGGACACUUUCUAUUUAAUUGAACCUUCGAACUGGCUACUCUUCGCUCGAACGAAACGAAAGUGAAACAUCUUCCGAUCCGACUCGUUUGCAUCCCUUAUUCGAUUGAGGAUCGAAAAGUUCAAGUUGUUACACGGCACGUUGGCGAUCCGGAGUCGGAUUCUAAACGUACCAGAGAUCGAAACACAGUUUCCGGAGAAGUCAUCGUCGUUAGAGAUCAAGUAACACCGACGACACUUGAAAUGGCAUCCCCCGAGAGGCACACGCACGCGACUUUUCGAUUCGCGACGGUUGUAUCGAUGGAUUUCAGAAGCCGCUAACAUCUGUGCUCCUUCAGCUCUGCCACCUUUUAUAUAUACCGUCAGCAUACUCGACUAUGUGUACAAGGACGACUUUUUUCCCCCCUCUGAAAUCGACGAUCCUCACGAAGCAUCAGAUAAACUUCGCGUUCACUAUCCGGACGCUGUUGAUUCCUAAACUACAAGCGGAGUUUUCUACUCUUGUUUUUUUAACUUUUUAUUCUACGAUAAUUACCGUUACAGGUACAUGUGACACUGGUAGCUAAAAUGUUAAUAAAAAUACAUUUGUAGCGUUUUUUCAAUAUCUACGGCCUUAUUUUGGAGUACUUAUAAGCCAGUGGAAUUUAAGGGACUCUUGGUAUUAACAAGAUUAUGAAUCUAACGUACAAGAUAGACAAGCAAUUACGGAAUGAAGAGGAUUGAAUAAUUUUAUUUAUGAAGUUGAAAAAUGUCCAGAUACUAGAAGCUGCAAAUUAAGAUCGUCAGGGUAAUACGUAUAGCCGCGUCUAAGCGUCGUGUCAAAUUGGCAAAGAAAUUUAUUAUCUGAUCCGUGUACGCAUCUUGACACUGGUGUUAUUAGUAUCUGUGUACACGAUAGAAAUCCCACGGAAGAACGUAAAGACGUUUCAUCCACAACAGGUAGAAUAGUUUUAUCUCUAGCUGGGACAGUGGUGCGCUUGUCGCGUUCACAAUUAUUUUUCUUCCCAGCUGCGCGAAGACGUUUCGAUUUAUCGCCAUCCGUUUGCCACGCGAUUCAAAGGCCAACGUCGUUACGAUGGAUGAGAUUUAGCUCUUUUAAGGGCACACGGGCAAACAAUGCGAUCUCUGCACCGCUAAUAGGAUGCGUUUGCUCUUUCGUAGGUAGAACAGAGUCGAGUUGACAUUUUACCAUUUUAUUCCGUGCUUUCGUACCAAACCCAUCGCAUUCCGUGCCCGGUAGCUGAUCGAGCGAUCCCUUUCCUUCUGUUCUCGAGUGAUCGCGAUCAUCGAUCGGAGUCGAGCACGCUUCGAAGAUGAGAUCUAAGGGUCGUUGUUCUCUUGGUUGAUCGUUAGUAAAACGACUACAUACGUAUAUGGAAGAGAAAUAUCGUUGAGGUUUGAUUUUUUUUGCUGAAACGGGUUGCAAUUUAAAGAGGCAAUGCUCUGAACAUCCGGGCUCAAACCCGGUCUACUUAAACUAAUGACGAUCCGGAAGUACGUUCAAAUUUGAUAGAGAUGGUAUUGUUCGGAAACUUACAAAAAGGUUCGAAAAUUGUUUCGAAUUUUUAAACGACCUAUCUUCGAGAGCAUUAACGUGUAUUUGCGAAUCGAACGUUUAUGGGGGUUCAGUGAUUUCGUAAUCGAUUACCGAGGAGAGAAAGGACUUGGUUGCUUAGAAGGAAGAUACGUCCACGGUGAUUUACAUCACUGACUUUUCGAAACGUUGUUUCGUAGCUGUCCCUGGUUCUCUCCCUGAAGAGGAGUAAUUCAGGUGGAUAUUGGUAGGCUCAGCAGUAACAAAGAAAGUUUGUCUUUAAAGUUGUCAAACUUUCUCUUCCUUUCUCAAAUUUUUUUUUGCUACUUAACUCGAACAGAUGGACAAUUUUUCAAAUAUGAGCAACGUAAUACUUGGAUCAUUUCUGAAUCCUAUUUUUGAAAGGUGAAAGGGGAGAAUUUAUAAUUUUGUUCGCAUGAAAGGAUUAAAGUUGACAGUUUUGAUAUAACACGAGUGAAAAUUGAUAGCUUAAAUCACAAGGGAAAGCGUACAAGGAAGCCUUAACAGUUUUAAUUCCGAUGGUGUUGAUCGGCUUUGUUAAUGUUUCCAUUUUAAAGAAAAAAAAAAAAAAAUACGAACGAGGAUGGAAUUUUCAAAAGGAUGAUAUUUUCUUUUUCUCUCCUCUUCACGCACAGUAUACAUAUGAAUGUUUAACGUGCAUAUACGCGAGCGUGUAAACCUGUAACAUACACGAAAGUAGAUAGGUAAGCUCCUUUCUUCGAGAUUCACUCUCAUUUCGCUUGUUCCGAAACUGUGAGGACACGCGAGUAAAUUAUUCAGGAUCUUCUAUUACUUACAACUUUAUAUUACACUCUGUACCGUACAUACAUUGCAGCUGCGUACAAUGAAUGAAAAUAAAGGUUUGCCUCCUUUCUCUCUCACUCUUACUCUUGGUAAUCCAAACACAUCCGUCACCCCAACUAUUAUCGCUGCGUAAUUUCAUAAAUAUCUGUGUUUUCUGCCCCGGCGAUCUAGGAAAAAUACGCGGAUAUGUGUAUUAAAAAAUAAUACAGGCACUCGUACAGGCAAACACUCGAAUCAUUCGCGCAUUUAAAACAAACUCGCGUUACUUCAUUUCUUCUCUUCCUUUCUUCGGCAACACGCAACUCGAAUUUUUCAAUCGUUACCGCAACGAAGAAAGGAGAGCGGAAAAACUACGCGAUACUCAAAACUUUCUUACAAUAGUUAAUUACGAGCGGAACCGAUCAACGGUUUCACUUUUCGACGAACAUCAACAAUGAUUGCAAAUAUAUGUACGUCGUAAAUCUCUUUCUCAUGAACAGGCGCGUUUAACCGCAUUUCAUUUUAAUUUUACGCCAUGUACAAUACACGAUUAAAUAGAACAAUAAAAAUCGAUCAAGCUGCGAAAAGGACGUAUUGAAAUAAAAACGCGUUUGGCAGAGAAGCAAUAAAUAAUAAUCGUCGUACGUGUAAACGCGGUCACUGAUAGACUGCGGAUGUCUAUGAAAAUAUGGAAUUUUUAUAUUCUGUCUUUUAACACGUUCUCUACCGUAAUUUGAGGUUUGUGAUCCAUCAUUUGGAUCAUAAAUAAGCAUCAUUAAGGGGUUUUCUUCUGUUAACUCCUUCGUAGCAAAGGGAUCUAAAAGUAUCAUUUUAUUUCCCAGCUUUUUCCACAUUUUCUUUUCUUAUACGUACCACGCAUCUUGAAUAUAUCUUUCUAUAUUUCUCGAUACAUCAUAAAUACAUAAACAUCCGUAAGUCUAGUCAUCAGAUUAAAAACAUUUCUCCUUAAAAAUUGAUCGUUCGUGCGUCGACAUUUACAAGCGCGCUGAUUCUCCCUUGCGUCGACGCGUUUCUUUGUGCCACUGCAGCAAUCGAGAAGUUGUUUUCACGUAGAGCACAGAGGAAAAAUCGUCUCUUAUCCGUUUCUUUCCUGUCUGAACAGCUCGGAUCGCCGUCAAUCACACGCGUACAAUUCAAAAAAUAUCACGAUAUUUACACAAUCUCGUACGACGAUCCUGAAUAGUUACCCACGCGGUUGGACUGUUGAGCGCCAGCUCGCCUAAUUUACAUAUAAAUCAUCAUCAUCUUAUCUUGCGUUUAUUUCGAUGCGAGGUGUAGAAAAUAUAAAGCGACCAAAGAGAAAAAGCGAUCAUAACGGACAAUUAGUACUCUGAUUUGUCGAAAAAAUACAGAGACCUGAAGUUUCUUUUCGUAUAGAGUCUCGCGCCACACGAUCCACGCGUACCCUUCUCUACAUUUUCUUUUUUUUUUUAACGUUAAAAAAUUUCGUAAAAGUUGCAUAUAGAGAUUUGAGUUUUAGUAAAAACGAGAGUCUACGAAUCUAUUGGUAUUACAUACAGAUCGAUGUCCAACGAAGUAUAGUAGCAUUUCCCCCCCCCCCCCUUCUGUUAACUUUUGAUAAAGUUUGAAACAUAAUUCUUGUGUGCAACUUGCUGCGGACUUUCACGCUCGCGUCAUCGGUCAUUCUUGAAAUCACGGUAAUUUUGACAGUAAUUAACCACAAUAGUAAAAGCAUUAUAAGCUAUACAACUACCAUUUCUGUAUCUACAAUAUAGAGUUUUAUGUAUAUUUAUAUAUAUAUUUUUUUUUGUUUCUUAUUCUCUCCUUUUUAAUAUAGUCUGUGUUAACUUUAUAGACACUCCUUCACUGUCUCUGAAAGGCUAUCAAGAGGCUCGGUGCUUUUCAUUGUUUUUUUUUUUUUUCUUUGCUUACGCAUGAUCAGGUAUCCUUCUUCACUGUUACGUCGAUUUUUUGAUCGACGAUGAAUCCCAGUAAUUCGUCGAAAUGACUUUUCUCGUACACGGUAUCCUUCUCUCUCGCAAAUUCGUGUAUUCAAAAGAGAAAACGCGACUUUUCUUGUCGUUUCUUCACAGGGAUAGGAAUAGGAAGCAUUGCGU